RNAcentral lists this ribosomal RNA (440 nucleotides) under uncultured bacterium. Its description in RNAcentral is "partial 16S ribosomal RNA". It matches the Rfam family "Bacterial small subunit ribosomal RNA", at positions 338 to 795 of the family's 1533-position model. The record is from RNAcentral.
CCUACGGGUGGCAGCAGUGGGGAAUAUUGGACAAUGGGGGAAACCCUGAUCCAGCGACGCCGCGUGAGCGAAGAAGUAUUUCGGUAUGUAAAGCUCUAUUAGCAGGGAAGAAAAUGACGGUACGUGACUAAGAUGCCCCGGCUAAAUACGUGCCAGGCAGCCGGGUAAUACGUCUGGGGCAGCCGUUAUCCGGAUGUUCUGGGGGUAAAGGGAGCGGAGGUGGUUUGGCAAGUCUGGUGGGAAAGGCGGGGGCUCAACCCCAGGUCUGCCUUGGAAACUGUGUAGCUGGAGUGCAGGAGAGGCAGGCGGAAUUCCUGGUGUAGCGGUGAAAUGCGUAGAUAUCAGGAGGAACACCGGCGGCGAAGGCGGCCUGCUGGACUGAAACUGACGCUGAGGCUCGAAAGCGUGGGGAGCAAACAGGAUUAGAUACCCGUGUAGUC